This 93-nucleotide transfer RNA is filed under the name Caldicellulosiruptor bescii. RNAcentral's name for it is "tRNA_Ser_GGA". It matches the Rfam family "tRNA". Rfam says of the family: Transfer RNA (tRNA) molecules are approximately 80 nucleotides in length. RNAcentral also lists the same sequence under 6 other names. Lineage: Bacteria; Bacillati; Bacillota; Caldicellulosiruptorales; Caldicellulosiruptoraceae. The record is from RNAcentral.
GGAGAGAUGGCCGAGUGGUCGAAGGCGCACGACUGGAAAUCGUGUGUACCCCCAAAAGGGGUACCGUGGGUUCAAAUCCCACUCUCUCCGCCA